This 373-nucleotide ribosomal RNA is filed under the name uncultured bacterium. Its description in RNAcentral is "bacterial SSU rRNA". It matches the Rfam family "Bacterial small subunit ribosomal RNA", at positions 524 to 898 of the family's 1533-position model. The record is from RNAcentral.
UACGGAGGAUGCAAGCGUUAUCCGGAUUCAUUGGGUUUAAAGGGUGCGUAGGCUGGCGCUAUAAGUCAGGGGUGAAAAGCAUAGGCUCAACUUAUGCACUGCCUUUGAUACUGUAGGCCUAGAGUGCAAAUGAGGUUGGCGGAAUGUGUAGUGUAGCGGUGAAAUGCAUAGAUAUUACACAGAACACCGAUAGCGAAGGCAGCUAACCAAGAUGCAACAGACGCUGAGGCACGAAAGCGUGGGGAUCAAACAGGAUUAGAUACCCUGGUAGUCCACGCUGUAAACGAUGAUUACUCGCUGUUGGCGAUACACAGUCAGCGGCCAAGCGAAAGCGUUAAGUAAUCCACCUGGGGAGUACGAUCGCAAGAUUGAA